AAGGUAAACACGGUACAGUGGCCGGGGUGAUAGGGAUGGGGCAAUGGUUAGCCGGAAUUUUGUGGCGUGAAGGUCGCCUAUGCUGUUUAUGAAGGCUGAUGUGAAAAGGCGGGGCUCAACUCCGUAGUGCGUUGGAAAUUGGUAGACUAGAGUAUUGGAGAGGUAGGCGGAACUACAAGUGUAGAGGUGAAAUUCGUAGAUAUUUGUAGGAAUGCCAAUUGGGAAGCCAGCUUACUGGACAAAUACUGACGCUGAAGCGCGAAAGCUAGGGGAGCAAACAGGAUUAGAUACCCUUGUAGUC
Molecule: ribosomal RNA, 301 nt
Filed under: uncultured Natronincola sp.
Lineage: Bacteria; Bacillati; Bacillota; Clostridia; Peptostreptococcales; Natronincolaceae
Description: partial 16S ribosomal RNA
Rfam family: Bacterial small subunit ribosomal RNA
Source: RNAcentral